This 1271-nucleotide ribosomal RNA is filed under the name Rhizobium sp. HP19. RNAcentral describes it as "partial 16S ribosomal RNA". It matches the Rfam family "Bacterial small subunit ribosomal RNA". The record is from RNAcentral. Lineage: Bacteria; Pseudomonadati; Pseudomonadota; Alphaproteobacteria; Hyphomicrobiales; Rhizobiaceae.
CGUCGACCACAGAGUUUGAUCCUGGCUCAGAACGAACGCUGGCGGCAGGCUUAACACAUGCAAGUCGAGCGCCCCGCAAGGGGAGCGGCAGACGGGUGAGUAACGCGUGGGAAUCUACCUUUUGCUACGGAAUAACGCAGGGAAACUUGUGCUAAUACCGUAUGUGUCCUUCGGGAGAAAGAUUUAUCGGCAAGAGAUGAGCCCGCGUUGGAUUAGCUAGUUGGUGGGGUAAAGGCCUACCAAGGCGACGAUCCAUAGCUGGUCUGAGAGGAUGAUCAGCCACAUUGGGACUGAGACACGGCCCAAACUCCUACGGGAGGCAGCAGUGGGGAAUAUUGGACAAUGGGCGCAAGCCUGAUCCAGCCAUGCCGCGUGAGUGAUGAAGGCCCUAGGGUUGUAAAGCUCUUUCACCGGAGAAGAUAAUGACGGUAUCCGGAGAAGAAGCCCCGGCUAACUUCGUGCCAGCAGCCGCGGUAAUACGAAGGGGGCUAGCGUUGUUCGGAAUUACUGGGCGUAAAGCGCACGUAGGCGGAUCGAUCAGUCAGGGGUGAAAUCCCAGGGCUCAACCCUGGAACUGCCUUUGAUACUGUCGAUCUGGAGUAUGGAAGAGGUGAGUGGAAUCCGAGUGUAGAGGUGAAAUUCGUAGAUAUUCGGAGGAACACCAGUGGCGAAGGCGGCUCACUGGUCCUUACUGACGCAACGCGCAGAACCUUACCAGCCCUUGACAUCCUGUGUUACCCGUAGAGAUAUGGGGUCCACUUCGGUGGCGCAGAGACAGGUGCUGCAUGGCUGUCGUCAGCUCGUGUCGUGAGAUGUUGGGUUAAGUCCCGCAACGAGCGCAACCCUCGCCCUUAGUUGCCAGCAUUUAGUUGGGCACUCUAAGGGGACUGCCGGUGAUAAGCCGAGAGGAAGGUGGGGAUGACGUCAAGUCCUCAUGGCCCUUACGGGCUGGGCUACACACGUGCUACAAUGGUGGUGACAGUGGGCAGCGAGCACGCGAGUGUGAGCUAAUCUCCAAAAGCCAUCUCAGUUCGGAUUGCACUCUGCAACUCGAGUGCAUGAAGUUGGAAUCGCUAGUAAUCGCGGAUCAGCAUGCCGCGGUGAAUACGUUCCCGGGCCUUGUACACACCGCCCGUCACACCAUGGGAGUUGGUUUUACCCGAAGGUAGUGCGCUAACCGCAAGGAGGCAGCUAACCACGGUAGGGUCAGCGACUGGGGUGAAGUCGUAACAAGGUAGCCGUAGGGGAACCUGCGGCUGGAUCACCUCCUU